Molecule: long non-coding RNA, 275 nt
Filed under: Carica papaya (papaya)
Lineage: Eukaryota; Viridiplantae; Streptophyta; Magnoliopsida; Brassicales; Caricaceae
Description: long non-coding RNA (CPAP_LNC004915)
Source: RNAcentral
UAUGGGGCUCCAGGAUCAAUUAAAGUAUGUGUUAUGUGCUUGCAAAUAAGGUACGUACCCUAAAUCACGUCAGGAGCAGCUUUCGCAUCCUUAGUUGUGAUGGCAUAAACUCAGCCUGAGACUGCUGGUCUAGCUUGCGACUGAGGCUAGGGGCAAUCACGUAUCUGAUGAUCGAUACUUUCACAUCUAAAACUGGCAUUGUUGAGCCAAUAACACUGGACGUUCCCAUGAUUCUUGCCACAAUGAACGCAACUCUGAUCUUGUCUGGCCGGCAA